CAGUGGCCCCUGUUUCUCUCUGCCUUUGUUUGGUGAUAUAUCAGGUCAGCCUCUGGGAUCCCAGCAGUAAGAAUGUGAUUCUGUUCAGUGCUUGCUAGAGGAGCAUGGAAUAGGGUUGAGAUUCGGUUAUUCCUGAGAAGAAGACAGUCUACCAAGCAGCCUUCAAGCUACAGGGCAGAGCCUUCUGUGCAGCUUCCUUCUCCCCUAAUCUUCCCAAGUCUCCCUGUGAACUUCUGGAACUCCUGUCAGUCUUCGGAGUCCUCGGUCAUUCCCUGGCCACCUCGUCAUUCCAGAAUCUUCUGGCCCAAGUUGCAGCUUGUGAUUUGGCUGCCUGCCCGCCCACCCGUCUGGAAGGUAAAGCCCUCAGAGCGGAGGAAGGAUCGGGACUUCAUAGACACCUGGUUGUGGGAGGGUAGGUAAGGAAGUGUGCCAUGCCCCGGGGAGGAGCAUCUUCUCAGGGAAUAAUCAGCUGCCAUCCCUGCCAUGAACCCCACCAAGACCGACUUCCAGCACCGUCUGGCUUAAGAAUCUCGCCUGCUCUCACCCAUGAGUCUGGCACAUCGUUCCACAAAUGAAGAUUCCUAAAUGGUAAGUGGUUAAGUUGCAGAUUAUAUAUUUUGAGCUGAAAUGUUUAUUUCCUGCCCCACCCUACCCCAGUCAGUGCUCUUCUGUUGGAACCAGCUGCCUGGCUGGCUGCUCCGCUUCCUCAGGAUCACCUGAGCAGAGAGUGGAGGUGACUUCGGUGUGGACAGGGGGAGGCAGGGAGCGGUUUGUGAAUGCCCUAGUUCCCUUCCAUCUGGCUAGGGAGGAUUAUAGAACACUCUCCUAAUGCGAUUUUGUUUUAUCCUAGGGAAGUCAUGUAAAGGAAAAAAACAAUGAAAAUUGACAUUCCAUUUUAUUUUGUAUGCUUUU
This is a long non-coding RNA of Peromyscus leucopus (white-footed mouse), 912 nucleotides long. RefSeq lists it as uncharacterized. NCBI's taxonomy places the organism in Eukaryota, Metazoa, Chordata, Mammalia, Rodentia, Cricetidae. The transcript has 3 exons. The record is from RefSeq and is a predicted model, not a curated record.